RNAcentral lists this ribosomal RNA (484 nucleotides) under uncultured bacterium. RNAcentral describes it as "partial 16S ribosomal RNA". It matches the Rfam family "Bacterial small subunit ribosomal RNA", at positions 36 to 507 of the family's 1533-position model. The record is from RNAcentral.
CUUUCCCUCUGGCGGCAGGCCUAACACAUGCAAGUCGAGCGGAUGAGGGGAGCUUGCUCCCUGAUUUAGCGGCGGACGGGUGAGUAAUGCCUAGGAAUCUGCCUGGUAGUGGGGGAUAACGUUCCGAAAGGAACGCUAAUACCGCAUACGUCCUACGGGAGAAAGCAGGGGACCUUCGGGCCUUGCGCUAUCAGAUGAGCCUAGGUCGGAUUAGCUAGUUGGUGAGGUAAUGGCUCACCAAGGCGACGAUCCGUAACUGGUCUGAGAGGAUGAUCAGUCACACUGGAACUGAGACACGGUCCAGACUCCUACGGGAGGCAGCAGUGGGGAAUAUUGGACAAUGGGCGAAAGCCUGAUCCAGCCAUGCCGCGUGUGUGAAGAAGGUCUUCGGAUUGUAAAGCACUUUAAGUUGGGAGGAAGGGCUGCUGGUUAAUACCCUGCAGUUUUGACGUUACCAACAGAAUAAGCACCGGCUAACUUCGUG